GACGAACGCUGGCGGCGUGCCUAAUACAUGCAAGUAGAACGCUGAAGGAGGAGCUUGCUUCUCUGGAUGAGUUGCGAACGGGUGAGUAACGCGUAGGUAACCUGCCUGGUAGCGGGGGAUAACUAUUGGAAACGAUAGCUAAUACCGCAUAAUAGUAGAUGUCGCAUGACAUUUGCUUAAAAGGUGCAAUUGCAUCACUACCAGAUGGACCUGCGUUGUAUUAGCUAGUUGGUGAGGUAACGGCUCACCAAGGCAACGAUACAUAGCCGACCUGAGAGGGUGAUCGGCCACACUGGGACUGAGACACGGCCCAGACUCCUACGGGAGGCAGCAGUAGGGAAUCUUCGGCAAUGGACGGAAGUCUGACCGAGCAACGCCGCGUGAGUGAAGAAGGGUUUCGGAUCGUAAAGCUCGGUUGUAAGAGAAGAACGAGUGUGAGAGUGGAAAGUUCACACUGUGACGGUAUCUUACCAGAAAGGGACGGCUAACUACGUG
RNAcentral lists this ribosomal RNA (495 nucleotides) under uncultured bacterium. RNAcentral describes it as "partial 16S ribosomal RNA". It matches the Rfam family "Bacterial small subunit ribosomal RNA", at positions 28 to 507 of the family's 1533-position model. The record is from RNAcentral.